AGCGGCUACUUCGCAGCAACCUCCUUGGCGCCACCGUUUAGUUCGUUUAGUUUCGAGGCUUCGAAAUAACGAAAUUGGCAUAAAAUUGUAAAGGCGUUCGUUUAUUGCAGUGGUGUAGUCCUAGAAAAAGUGGCCUGACGGUGUUUUUCAAAGCGGAGCAAUUAGAGCACAGGGCGGUCCGGUGCUCCUCACAAGCUGGAAGAUGACAUCGUUGACAGAAAGUUUUGAAUUUUCUGGUUGAUGAUACAGCACUGCCCACAUCCUCUAUCUGUAAACAGAUGUAGAAUUGUAAACCAAAGUUUAUUAGAAAUGAACUUUUGUCUAUUAGUAACGAAAUAAAUAAAAAAUUUCUAUCAGAUCAA
Molecule: long non-coding RNA, 362 nt
Organism: Belonocnema kinseyi
Lineage: Eukaryota; Metazoa; Arthropoda; Insecta; Hymenoptera; Cynipidae
Exons: 2
Source: RefSeq, a predicted model, not a curated record